Molecule: ribosomal RNA, 473 nt
Filed under: uncultured bacterium
Lineage: Bacteria
Description: bacterial SSU rRNA
Rfam family: Bacterial small subunit ribosomal RNA
Source: RNAcentral
GACGAACGCUGGCGGCGUGCUUAAUACAUGCAAGUCAACUUGACUUUAGAUAGCAAUAUCGAAAAGUAGGGUGGCGCACGGGUGCGUAACGCGUAGGUAAUCUGCCCUGAGGUCUGACAUAACCCGUCGAAAGGCGGGCUAACAUCAGAUGAUAUAUAAUCACGACAUCGUGGAAAUAUCAAAUCUUCGGAGCCUUGGGAUGAGCCUGCGUCUGAUUAGGUAGUUGGCGGAGUAAUAGCCCACCAAGCCUACGAUCAGUAGCUGGUCUGAGAGGAUGAUCAGCCACACUGGAACCGAGACACGGUCCAGACUCCUACGGGAGGCAGCAGUAAGGAAUAUUGCUCAAUGGGGGAAACCCUGAAGCAGCAACGCCGCGUGAAGGAUGAAAUACUUUUGUAUGUAAACUUCUGUAAGAUGGGAAAAAUAUUCUCCUCGGGAGAAUUGAUUGUACCAUCAGAGUAAGCCCCGGCUAA